Ribosomal RNA from Danio rerio (zebrafish), 117 nucleotides. The record is from Ensembl. NCBI's taxonomy places the organism in Eukaryota, Metazoa, Chordata, Actinopteri, Cypriniformes, Danionidae.
CACCACAGCCAUGUCGCCCUGCAGCUCAAGACCGGUUACUUACUGAAGCUCAGCAGUACUGAGCUUGGUCGGUACCUGGAUGGGAGACCACAUGGGAAAACUAGGUUGCUGUUGGAA